GCGCUCGCUUCUGCAGCACAUAUACUAAAACUGGAAUGAUACAGAGAAGAUUAGCAUGGCCCCUGCACAAGGAUGACAUGCAAAUUCAUGAACCAUUCCAUGUUUGG
Cynocephalus volans (Philippine flying lemur) is the source of this 107-nucleotide small nuclear RNA. NCBI's taxonomy places the organism in Eukaryota, Metazoa, Chordata, Mammalia, Dermoptera, Cynocephalidae. The record is from RefSeq and is a predicted model, not a curated record.